GAUGAUGUGCCUGAUUAAAGGGCUACCUUGAUAGGGUAAAUAAAGUAUAAUAUUUUACCAUCAUUA
This 66-nucleotide transfer RNA is filed under the name Ultragryllacris pulchra rubricapitis. RNAcentral's name for it is "tRNA-Ile". The record is from RNAcentral. Lineage: Eukaryota; Metazoa; Arthropoda; Insecta; Orthoptera; Gryllacrididae.